Molecule: ribosomal RNA, 30 nt
Filed under: Eriochloa procera
Lineage: Eukaryota; Viridiplantae; Streptophyta; Magnoliopsida; Poales; Poaceae
Description: partial 18S ribosomal RNA
Source: RNAcentral
UUUCGGUAGGUGAACCUGCGGAAGGAUCAU